RNAcentral lists this long non-coding RNA (350 nucleotides) under Columba livia (rock pigeon). RNAcentral's name for it is "partial uncharacterized LOC102096962". Lineage: Eukaryota; Metazoa; Chordata; Aves; Columbiformes; Columbidae. The record is from RNAcentral.
GUUUGUUGAAACCAUAGCCAAAGACGCCUAUGUGUAUGCUCAGCAAGGAAAGAGGAAAACCCUGCAGAGAAAAGACCUGGACAAUGCCAUUGAAGCUAUUGAUGAAUUCGCUUUUUUGGAAGGAACUCUGGACUGAGCUGAACAGAGACGGAGACAGAGACCGAAGAGAUGGACGUGGGCUGGAAAAUAGGAUGUUGAGAGUUCGAAAAUAGUUCCUAGAAUCGUCACCCUGAAAUGGCAACCGUAAUAUUUUGUAUAAAGUUCAAGUUGUUGUAAGUUCGUUAUUUAAAAUGCAUAUUUUUCCAUGAGGUUCUGUACGUUGGCGGCGCAGGCCGCUCUCCGGCGUGGCG